Balaenoptera ricei (Rice's whale) is the source of this 4890-nucleotide RNA transcript. It is a transcript of the gene named gap junction protein alpha 10, with no coding region annotated. The record is from RefSeq and is a predicted model, not a curated record. Lineage: Eukaryota; Metazoa; Chordata; Mammalia; Artiodactyla; Balaenopteridae. The transcript is spliced from 4 exons.
GAAAAACAUUUGUUUUUUUCAGGGUAAACCGAGUAACCUAUUUAUAUCAGCUAUGCCUUGAUUCUUUCCCAGCACCCAAGCUUGCUAGAGAAGCAGUUUAUAUUCACUUUUCUUCUUUUUUUUUUUUUUUGUUAGUUUGUUUUUGUUUGAUUUGAAUUUUAUUUAUUUAUUUUUUAUACAGCAGGUCCUUAUUAGUUACCUAUUUUAUACAUAUUAGUGUAUACAUGUCAAUCCCAAUCUCCCAGUUCAUCCCACCACCACCACCACCCACUUUUCUUCUAAGUAAGCAGAGCUUCCGUGAAAACCUGCUGUUCCAGAUGUGGCUUUGUAGAUGUAAUCAUAUGUCAUUGCUGGUACUGUUUCUGAGCCUGCUUAAUCUUUACUGCUACCCUGUGCCAGUUCCUGAAGGUUUAUUUGGCUGAGUUCUGUUUUCUUUACUUGUACUUUCAGUCUUGCAGUGGGAGCCAUCGAUGAUACAUAAUGAGGAUCUAUUUUGUUUUUCUGUUGAGGAUUUUUCCAGUGAUAGAGUCAAGGAACUGAGUUUUAAAAAGAAAAGACAAUUCAAUCCACUAUUAUUUAUUGAUACCUUAGUGUGCCAGACCAAAAUGAAAUAGAAAGUGUCCCUAUCUGCAAAAAGAGUACCUUUUCAGGAAAGGUAACAUAAGACAACUAUCACAAAACUCAUUUUAGGCACAGUACCAAGUGAGUGGUAUAAACACUAGUAUUGUGUGAAUUUAGGAAUGGGAAAAAAUCACUCUGACUUGGGAUGGCUGGGGAAAACUUCCUGGAGGAGUUGAGACUUAUUUAAGAUCAUGUAGGAUGUAUGGUAAAUAUGGCUUCUCAUAUGUUAGAAAAAUGAGCAAAAUUUUGGAUUUUGGGAAUGCAUUGUACAAAUAUGAUCCCAAUGAGUAUACCAGAAUGACAGUCAACUUUGUGUAGGAGAGAAGGGGACAGGAAGGGAAUUGGGUCAGAUUGGGGAGGGUCGUUAGUGUUUUUCCCAAAACAUAGUCCUUAGAAAUAUCCUGUUUCAGCAAGCACAGGCCAUAAAUAUUAGAGCUGGAAAAUCCCUUGUAGUUUUGUUGACAUGAAGAGAGGACCUGCUGUAUUGAUGAGCUCGUUGUCUUUAUAUAUGACAUCCAUGGAUGCUAUUAACCUCAGUGUUUUCUGUAUAUUUCAGACAUUAGUCCCUUACCAUGGGGGAUUGGAAUUUAUUGGGUGGCAUCCUAGAGGAAGUUCACUCCCACUCAACCACGGUGGGGAAAAUCUGGCUGACCAUCCUCUUCAUUUUCCGGAUGCUGAUACUUGGUGUAGCUGCUGAAGAUGUCUGGGAUGAUGAACAGUCAGCAUUUGUCUGCAACACCCAGCAGCCAGGUUGCAACACUGUCUGUUACGAUGAUGCUUUCCCUAUCUCUCUGAUCAGGUUCUGGGUUUUGCAGAUCAUCUUUGUGUCUUCUCCCUCUCUGGUAUAUGUGGGCCAUGCACUUUAUAGCCUCAGGGCCUUUGAAAAGGAGAGGCAGAGGAAAAAGUCACAGCUUAGAGCCCAGAUGGAGAAUCCAGAGCUUGAAUUGGAGGAGCAGCAAAAGAUAGAUAGAGAACUGAGGAAGCUGGAGGAGCAGAAGAAGAUCCAAAAAGUCCCUCUGAAAGGAUGUCUUCUGCGUACUUAUGUCUUACACAUCUUGACCAGAUCUGUGCUGGAAGUAGGGUUCAUGAUAGGCCAAUAUAUUCUCUAUGGGUUGCAAAUGCACCCCCUUUACAAAUGUACUCAACCUCCUUGCCCCAAUGCAGUGGAUUGCUUCGUGUCCAGGCCCACAGAGAAGACCAUUUUCAUGCUCUUUAUGCAGAGCAUUGCAGCCAUCUCUUUGUUCCUCAACGUACUGGAAAUAUUUCAUCUGGGGAUCAGGAAAAUCAUGAGGGCACUUUAUGACAAAUCCAGCAGUGAGGGCAUUGAGGACGAAAGGGGACCUCCAUUUCAUUUGAAAAGAUAUUCAGCGGCCCAGCAGUGUAUGAAUUGCUCUCUCUUCCCUGAAAGAGUCUCUCUAGUUCAAGCCAGCACUCAACAGCAAGUCUUCCGAGUCGAUGUGCCGAAUUCUAAAACCAUGUGGCAAAUCCCACAGCCCAGGCAACUUGAGGUAGACCCUUGCUGUAGUAAAAAAGACUGGGCUGAGGGGUAUCAGCACAGAGGACAGCUCCAUGUCCACAGCCCGUGUCCCUGGGAUGAUGGUGCUAGAAUUCAGCACUCGGGACAGCAAUCAGGCCGGUCUUCCUUUGGCUUGCAGACUACAACGCCCCAGUCCUGGCUCGGUACAACGAUGGCUCCUAGACAUUGUCCAUCACAUACAACAGGACGCUGGGAGCAGUCCCAGGACCUGCAACCCUCAGGGGAGCCUCUCACAGAUCUACACAGUCACUGCAGACACAGCGAUGGCAGCAUGAGAGAGAGCAGAGUCCAGACAGACGGAUCUUGCAUGGGCAGUUGCAAGGCCAGCUUUCUGUCCAGAUUGCUGUCUGAAAAGGGACAGCUGUACAGUGACUCACUAAGCUCCAGUUCUCGAAAUAGCUCUUGCCUGGGCUUUCCACACCGGGAAAACAGCCCCUCACUUCUGCCUUCAGCCACUGAGCACAAAACAUCAAUGAACAUGCUUCUAGAACUUUCAUCCAUUAUGAAAAAAUAAUGCAUCCUGGGACCAGAAAAAACAGACUCAGGAGCAGCUGGCAUCUGCGAGAUAGAAGUUGUAUGUUUGUCAGCUCAAACUGCAGGAGGAACUCUGAGAACCAUCCCCUCCAGAACCAUGAAUCAGGCAAUGGCUGUGUAUCGGGGGCUCCCAGCUGGGCUCCCUGACCGCUGGGGUCAGCCUCUCACUGCUCUGCUUGGCCAUGCUGCCUGAGGCCGGUCCAGUGCUCUCCAUACACCAGGGAGGCACUCUACCCCAUCAGAGAAAAUCUAGGGGCAAGAGCCGCCAUCCGCGGGGAGGAGGAGUGAGAUGUGCUACCAUCCCUGCCAGUAGCGGGCUCUGCAGCAGCAGCAGUUUGGACCCUUGAACAUGGUUCCAGAGCAGGCUGGGAGCUCUGCCUGCAGCCUGGGCUCAACAUGCUUCCUGUCUGUACACCAGAAGUUGGAGGGAAGCUUUUUGUGUUCUUCCUCUCGUCAGCUCAUUUCUUGGGGUUGAAGCAGCUGGAUGUUCGUCCCUAGAUGCCAUUACAUAAAAUAUUGAUUAUGGCACUGGCAAACACUCGCCAUCACAUGACUUUAUCCUUCUGCUGGGAUCAUCGUCAGUAGUGAUGCCAUGACUGUGGGCCAGCAGGUGCUGCGGAAUCUCAUUCCCAACUUCCAGGGGAGUGACUGAAGCCGGCACCACUUCCUCACCCUCCCCACCCUCCCAGUGGUCCCGAGCCAUCCAGGAGAGGUGCAUCGAAAAAGCACUGAACACUUCUUACAGAGCACAGAGGCAUGGAUGGCUGUGUGAUGUCCACUAACUAUCCAGUCGGUGAGGCUGGUUGGCUGGUCAUUACUGUCUGAGUUCUGAGAAUCAUAAAGGUGGACUUAAUUCCCAUGGAAGGAGCCACUUAGCCCUGUCCUCUAUCCCGUGGCCAGACUCUCCUAUCCCUGGCCACACACCUUGUAACAAAGGCUUCAAGUUAUUGGGAGAAUCAGUUUGUUCCAAAGACACAAAGGUCUGCAUCAUCUAUAUCCUGCUGAGAUAAAAUCCAUACUCCUUAGCCUGGCACAUAAAGCCUUCAUGGGCUGACUCCUGCCUCCUGUUUGUUCCCUACCUCCUGUGCCCUAACCCGGCUGCGCUAUGAGUAAAGCAGAUCGUCUUCCCAUUGUGGGUGACCAGCAGCCAAUCUGUUGAGGGCCUGCAUAGAAUAAAAAAGUGGAAGAAGAGUGAAUUUGCUUUCUCUAUUUGAGCUGGAACAUCAGUCUUCUCCCUUGGACUGAGACUUAUAUCAUUGGCUCUAUAGUUCUCAGAACUAUGCCACCGGCUUUCCUGGGCCUCCAGCUUGCAAAAGAGGAGGAAGUGAGGGGUGGAGAUGUGAAGAGGUGUGUGAUCUUUUCCACAAUGAAUUGGUAGAAGAGCCUGUGAAGACCAGGUGGAUGAAAACGAUGCCGGGGCCAAGCCCAGAUGGGUGCCAUUUUAAGGGGCAUACCAUAUUCCAGCAUACAGCAGACCUGCUGGCAGGGAGUAGGCAGACUGAGAUUCCUCACUGCUCUGGAAGUAGAUACAAGUCACACCUAAGGUGCACAUUCAAGGUAGGAAAGAGAAUGGCUGCCUCCCAUUUGGGGCUGGGUCGUGUUCGAAUGCUUCCCUUCUGCAGGAGAUAAGGGCCUUCUUCUGUAUCAAACCACAGUUGUCAUUCCUGCCACAAGCACUAAUGUUGGGGUCGAAGGUGCAUAUGAUCAUCAGUUCUAAGUGACCAGGUUUUCCUACAGAAAACUUUGGGACCAUGACACCGUUUUCCUAGAAAGGAUUGAAUAACUUCAUGUCUUCAGGCAAAGGACUCUAUUUUACCUCUGACACCUAAGAUGUUUCACAACAGUGCAUGUUUGCUAAUCCCAUUAUAUGGUCCCUGAAGCCCUCGCCUCAGUGGGGAGCCCGUGGAGGGAGUGGAGUUCAGCAACUGGUAAUUUCAGUUUUCCCACCUAGUAGGUGGGGUAAGGCCAUGCACUUCUGGAAGCUCAGAUCCCGGCAGCACUGCAUUCUCCUGCCAUCACGUGAAUCCAUCCUCACUGCCAGCUCGGCCAGACCACUUAUGAGUCCCGCGCACUCAAGUUGUCUGGCCUGCCCACCAUUCAAUAUCUUGUUUUCCCUUUACAUCAAAAUCCAAGACUCAAAUGAUCAAAUAUUCUUUUCUGGCUUAAAUGUAUGUACACCCUAAUCACAAUUCUAAAAU